CCACUGUGUGAGGCCUUUGUGGCUGUCACCUCGUCAGCCCUCCCAGGAGGACCAGCUCCCUCACUCUAUGAUGAGGGAGCGGAGGCUCUGGGAGAGGAUGUCACUUCCCAGGCCACACAGCUCCUCGGGGCGGAGCUGAGAUCGGAAUCCUCUUGUACUGCACCCAGAUCCUGGGCCGACCCCUGCUUCAUGGCCUCUGGUGCGGAAAGCCAGGGUCCUGGUACAGCCAGACCCGAAUACGGUGCCAGGACCCAGGGGACGUCCCAUCCAUGGCCAGAUGUCCCAAGGAGGCGGCCAGAGCCUCAGGAGCCUCCCCUGACUGAACCUGAGGCCCCAUGGGUGGGAUGGACACAGUCCCCUCCACGUCCUCCUCAGGAGGGACCCUCUGUCCCCAUCAACAGCGUCAUGCUCCGAGGAUCAGCUCCCCGUCUGUGCAGGGUGGAUGUGGGAAGUCACCGAGAUCCUACUAUCCCCCGAAACUGCCCAGCGACCACACGAUCUGGAAAUAAAACCCGCGUUUGCAUACAGUAGGUGCUCAUAAAUGCCGGCUUUCUUCCGCUCUC
Ictidomys tridecemlineatus (thirteen-lined ground squirrel) is the source of this 563-nucleotide non-coding RNA. Lineage: Eukaryota; Metazoa; Chordata; Mammalia; Rodentia; Sciuridae. The record is from RefSeq and is a predicted model, not a curated record.